CCUACGGGUGGCAGCAGUGAGGAAUAUUGGUCAAUGGACGAGAGUCUGAACCAGCCAAGUAGCGUGAAGGAUGACUGCCCUAUGGGUUGUAAACUUCUUUUAUAUGGGAAUAAAAUGUUCCACGUGUGGGUUUUUGUACGUCCCAUAUGACUAAGGAUCGGCUACAUCCGUGCCAGCAGCCGCGGUAAUACGGAGGCGCCGAGCGUUAUCCGGAUUUAUUGGGUUUAAAGGGAGCGUAGGUGGAUUGAUAAGUCAGUUGUGAAAGUUUGCGGCUCAACCGUAAACUUGCAUUUGAAACUGGCAGUCUUGAGUACAGUAGAGGUGUGCGGAAUUCGUGGUGUAGCGGUGAAAUGCUGAGAUAUCACGAAGAACUCCGAUUGCGAAGGCAGCUCACUGGACUGCAACUGACACUGAGGCUCGAAAGUGUGGGUAUCAAACAGGAUUAGAUACCCUAGUAGUC
RNAcentral lists this ribosomal RNA (460 nucleotides) under uncultured bacterium. RNAcentral's name for it is "partial 16S ribosomal RNA". It matches the Rfam family "Bacterial small subunit ribosomal RNA", at positions 338 to 795 of the family's 1533-position model. The record is from RNAcentral.